RNAcentral lists this ribosomal RNA (658 nucleotides) under uncultured Lachnospiraceae bacterium. RNAcentral's name for it is "bacterial SSU rRNA". It matches the Rfam family "Bacterial small subunit ribosomal RNA", at positions 63 to 731 of the family's 1533-position model. Lineage: Bacteria; Bacillati; Bacillota; Clostridia; Lachnospirales; Lachnospiraceae. The record is from RNAcentral.
CUUAUUUGAUUUUCUUCGGAACUGAAGAUUUGGUGAUUGAGUGGCGGACGGGUGAGUAACGCGUGGGUAACCUGCCCUGUACAGGGGGAUAACAGUCAGAAAUGACUGCUAAUACCGCAUAAGACCACAGCACCGCAUGGUGCAGGGGUAAAAACUCCGGUGGUACAGGAUGGACCCGCGUCUGAUUAGCUGGUUGGUGAGGUAACGGCUCACCAAGGCGACGAUCAGUAGCCGGCUUGAGAGAGUGAACGGCCACAUUGGGACUGAGACACGGCCCAAACUCCUACGGGAGGCAGCAGUGGGGAAUAUUGCACAAUGGGGGAAACCCUGAUGCAGCGACGCCGCGUGAGUGAAGAAGUAUUUCGGUAUGUAAAGCUCUAUCAGCAGGGAAGAAAAUGACGGUACCUGACUAAGAAGCCCCGGCUAACUACGUGCCAGCAGCCGCGGUAAUACGUAGGGGGCAAGCGUUAUCCGGAAUUACUGGGUGUAAAGGGUGCGUAGGUGGUAUGGCAAGUCAGAAGUGAAAACCCAGGGCUUAACUCUGGGACUGCUUUUGAAACUGUCAGACUGGAGUGCAGGAGAGGUAAGCGGAAUUCCUAGUGUAGCGGUGAAAUGCGUAGAUAUUAGGAGGAACAUCAGUGGCGAAGGCGGCUUACUG